This 120-nucleotide ribosomal RNA is filed under the name Candidatus Woesebacteria bacterium. Lineage: Bacteria; Candidatus Woeseibacteriota. The record is from RNAcentral.
CCUGGUUAUUGAAGCGACGUGGUACCAACCUUUCCCAUCUCGAACAAGGUCUUGAAACGCGUCAGCGCUGAUGAUACUCCCGCCAAAGCGGCGAUGGGGGAAAGUAAGUCGUAGCCAGGU